Molecule: ribosomal RNA, 253 nt
Filed under: uncultured bacterium
Lineage: Bacteria
Description: partial 16S ribosomal RNA
Rfam family: Bacterial small subunit ribosomal RNA
Source: RNAcentral
UACGUAGGCAGCAAGCGUUGUUCGGAGUUACUGGGCGUAAAGGGUGCGUAGGCGGGUUUUUAAGUCAGGGGUGAAAUCCUGGAGCUCAACUCCAGAACUGCCUUUGAUACUGAAGAUCUUGAGUCCGGGAGAGGUGAGUGGAACUGCGAGUGUAGAGGUGAAAUUCGUAGAUAUUCGCAAGAACACCAGUGGCGAAGGCGGCUCACUGGCCCGGUACUGACGCUGAGGCACGAAAGCGUGGGGAGCAAACAGG